RNAcentral lists this unclassified non-coding RNA (363 nucleotides) under uncultured bacterium. RNAcentral describes it as "contains 16S-23S intergenic spacer region". The record is from RNAcentral.
UCCCUGUUAACCAGGGCAGUCUCCUAUGAAAUGUAUAACAUAGGACAAGGGUUGCGCUCGUUCACGGACCUAACCGAACACCUCAAGGCACGAGCUGACGACAACCAUGCAGCGCCUGUCACCGAGUUCCUUGCGGCACUCCACCGUUUCCGGCGGAUUCUCGGGAUGUCAAGCCUUGGUAAGGUUUCUCGUUUCGUGUCGAAUUAAACAACAUGCUCCACCGCUUGUGUGGGUCCCCGUCUAUUCCUUUGAGUUUUAAUCUUGCGACCGUACUUCCCAGGCGGAAUACUUAACGCGUUAGCUAAGGCACUGGUGGGAUCGAUCCACCAACACCGAGUAUUCAUCGUUUACGGCGUGGACUAC